Molecule: long non-coding RNA, 2613 nt
Organism: Camelus dromedarius (Arabian camel)
Lineage: Eukaryota; Metazoa; Chordata; Mammalia; Artiodactyla; Camelidae
Exons: 3
Source: RefSeq, a predicted model, not a curated record
AAUUUAUUUUUAAUGGAGGUACUGGGGAUUGAACCCAGAACCUCAUGCAUGCUAAGCACACACUCUACCCUUCAUUGCAAUUUUUUUAAAUACAAACGAAUUUUACUAGUCUUAGUCAUAAUGUACAUAAAUUCGUAUGUUACAUAAAGUAGGACAAUCUCAUAAUCACAGUCACUGUUACCCAGUGCCUCUAAGCCACAGCAUCACAUGGUUCUGAGUGGGAGUCUACACAGAUUCACGGAGAAAGAGGAGGUAGGUCAGCUGAGAAGUCAGAGCCUUGCUGGAGAGCCAUUGCAGGCCAGUCCUGGUGCCCGUGCCCCUCACAGCCGGAGCAGGAGGGAGACUUGCAAACAAGUGGAGUUCCCGGCCCUGGAAUACGUGCGCCACAGAGGUGAGUGCCGGUGAGAGGGGAUCCUUGUGCAACAAGUCGCGUCUGAGCCACAGCUGAGUCACUCUGAAGUGCGAAUAGGAGUUCGCCACAUCAAGCAAGGUAGGCGGGACGUUCCAGGCAGACGGAGGAGCAGAGAUGACGGUCCAGAGAUGGGAAAUACUGCCAGGGGCACCCUAAGAAGCUGAGAGCACCCCUCUCCCUACUUUUCUUCACUGAGGAUAAGGAGGGGGAUCGCGUAUUGUGUCUCUGGAAGGGUGUACCUGGCUGAUUCCAUUGCAAUGAUCCUGUAUCCUCCACCAGAAAGCCAUCUUUCUUCACAUCGACUAGACUUGAAUUUUCAGUGUUACCAGUAGCUGCUCAACCUAAUGUUAACUUUCAUUUCCUUUUCCACUCCCUGCGAAAGGCUUUGUGCUUUCACAAGCCUUGGGGUUUGGACCGUGUCAGGUCCCAAGGCUCCGACCUGAUGGGCGCCUGGUUGGCCCCAGCUGCUGGCUGCAGCUGUGCGGGUAACUCCAGCAUCUCGGGCUUUACAGCUCGCCAGCUGUAGCUGUUUGAGUUCAGCUCGGUUUGCUCCUUGCUCUGGGGCUGUUCCAGUUGUCAACUCUUCCUGCUCUGACGGGGAAAGUCCCCUUUAAAGCCACGUGCUUAAAACUGAAACCAAAGUGUAACGGCCACAUGGCCACCACAAAGGCGGGACCUCCAGUGCCUCCUAAGUCCUGGCUGAAGUCCUCCUUCACUGCAUGUUCAAGGCCAAGGCAGUGGGAGGAACUAGCUCCUGGCAGUUUCUAAAUCUAGACUUGUCUUCCCUCCAGGGAGGGGCUUUGUCCCCUGCCUCUCUCCCCACUGUGCCUUUUCUUUCCUGGUUCACAUUUUAAAUUUAGCCAAGAAUUGCAAAACAUUUUUUAAAGGUGAAAAGAAGCCACAGGGUGACCCCCCCAUCUCUUUCUCCCUCAAACCAAAGAGAAGGGUUGAGGAGCCAACUCCCCUAUUUCCCUUAGAAACCCUAAGUAGGGGGUUGGGUGUACCUGAGGGGCCAGGCAGAGAAAGCAAGUGAGAGUAGCCACCCAGGAGUCAGGGAAGGGCGGAGAUGGGGAGAGUGGAGAAGAUGCAAGAACGACACUCUUAUACCGGAGGCAGUCACUCCAUACUGGUACCCAGGAUUUUUUUUUCCUGAGUGGCAGAGGCAUAUGCAAAAAAAAUUUUUUAACGCUUUUUAAAAAAAUUGAAGUUUAGUCAGUUUACAGCAUUGUGUCAAUUUCUGGUGUACAGCAUAAUGUUUCAGUCAUCCAUAUACAUACAUAUAUUUCUUUUCAUAUUCUUCUCCAUUAUAGGUUACUACGAAAUACUGAAUAUAGUUCCCUGUGCUACACAGCAGAAACUUGUUGUUUAUCUAUUUUAUGUAUAGUAGUUAGUGUCUGCAAAUCUUGGAUUCCCAACUUACCCCUUCCCACCCGCGAGAUUUUGAUGUGACAUUUCAUGCAUUUAUAAACCAUUGUAAGUGUCCCCAUCCAGGGUAGAUGUCCUGGGCACAUACUCUCCACCCCCCCGUCCCCGUUUUCUCGGGUGCCCCUCGGCUGGAAGCCUUCAGUCUGCUGGGACUGCCUGAGGAUGGCUGUGCGAUGCUUGACCUUUGUCUGGGUCCUUUGAAGCUGCCGAAACGAAACACCACGGACUGCGUAGCUUAUAAACCAUGGAAAUUUAUCUCCCACCAUCCUGGACGCUGGGAAGUGCAAGUUCAAGAAGCUGGCGGAUUCAGUGUCCGUUACCCCGAAAAGCUUUCGACAUAUUCACAGAGCUGUGCAACCCCCACCACAAUCAGAAUGUUUCCAUCACACCCAGAAGAAACCCAGCCGGCAGCAACUCCACGUUUACUCCUCAGGACAAAUGUUUCCAGCUCCAGCCACCACUUCCACUGUCCAUGGACUUGUCCAUUCUGGUCAUUUCAUAUAAACGGCAUUAUGCAACCAUAUGACCUUUGUGCUUUGUGUCCUUUCACGUAGCAGAAUGCUUUCAAGGUUCAUCAGCGUUGUAGCACGCAUCAGAACCUCUUUCCUUUUUAUUGCUGAAUAAGGCUUCAUUGAGCGGAUAUACUGCGUUUUGUUUAUCUGUUCAUCAGUUGAUGGACUUUUGGGUUGUUUCCACUUUCGACUAUUGUGAAGAGUGCAGCUGUGAACAUUCAAGUACAAAUGUUUUUAUUGUGGUAAGAUAGACAUAAUAUAAAA